RNAcentral lists this long non-coding RNA (3884 nucleotides) under Citrus maxima (pomelo). Its description in RNAcentral is "long non-coding RNA (CMAX_LNC000672)". The record is from RNAcentral. Lineage: Eukaryota; Viridiplantae; Streptophyta; Magnoliopsida; Sapindales; Rutaceae.
CUGCCAAAGCAAUUUUAAGAAUCACAAGCCUUGUGCCUCGCUGUUUUCUCUAAUGAACUCUGAUUGAUCUAUGCUCCUCUGCAUUGACUAUUGGCCUCACCUAAUCGCUUCAACUGGCAAAAUUAGGUAUUGAAAUGAAAGCGACUUGGAACAAAUAACAUAAACAAAUAACAUGGGUCAAACAGCAAAAACAAUCAAACAAACAAACAUAAACGUGACGUUGUAACAAAUAACAUGGGUCAAGAUAUAAAUCAACUGACCAACAUUGUUGAAUUGUCGAUAUUUUUAUUGACUUCAAUUGACUAACAACUUUCCUUCUUUUCUUGAAGGAUGGCUUUGGCGGCGUUUCUUGAAGGAUGGCUUGGACCUCUCGUUGAUUCGCGUCCUCGAUAUUGGUUCGUGGCUUUCGAUCUUCCUGAUCUCGCCGUCUUCCGAAGAGAAGACGUUUGUCGAAGUUAUCGCAAUCGACGCUCACCAUUGUCCUGGUAAGUCACGGUUAAGCUAACAGUAACGAUAACGGCAUUGAUAAUUGUUUGGACGGGAUAUUAUCAUUUUCCCACCGACGGUAUUCUGACACAUCAUGUCAGUACUAUGGUUUAGUAAAACUAUUAAUUUAUCACCAAAUAUUAAAACUGUUAGCAUUUUCUCACCAUUCCGUUAAAACUCAGUUAAUAUGUAAUGAAAAAUUUUUAAAAGGUCAAUUUUACCCCUGGAGCAUAAAAGACCAUGUAAUUAACCUUUUAUGAAUUUUGUAAUUAAAUCAUCAUUUAUUGUUCUUCCUUCUUAAAGGACAAAAAUUACCCUUUAUGAAUUUUGUAAAAUUGACCGUGUGGUGUUAGGUAAUUCAUAAAUUGAUUUAAUUUAUUUAAUUUUUAAAGGGCAAAUUUAUUUAUUUAAUUUUUUGUGUAAAAUUAUUAUCAUCAUAUCAAAGAUUAAAUUGCUUCUUUUGCACUUUUUUUUUCAAAUUUAUUUAUUUAAUUUUUUGUGUAAAAUUAUUAUCAUCAUAUCAAAGAUUAAAUUAAAUUGCUUCUUUUGCACUUUUUUUUUUUUUGCCCUUUCAUAAAUUGAGUUUUAGUAGUAUAAUAAAUUGUCUUUAGCUCGUCAAUUUAAUAAAUAAAUUUGCCCUUUAAAAAUUAAAUCAAUUUAUGAAGUACCUAGCACCACACGGUCAAUUUUACAAAAUUUAUAAAGGGUAAUUUUUGUCCUUUAAGAAGGAAGAACAACAAAUGAUGAUUUAAUUACAAAAUUCAUAAAAGGUUAAUUACAUAGUCUUUUACGCUCCAGGGGUAAAAUUGACAUUUUAUGAAUUUUCUGUUACAUAUUAAUUGAGUUUUAACGGAAUGGUGGGAAAAUGCUAACAGUUUAAACGUUUGGUGGUAAAUUGAUAGUUUUACCAAACCAUGGUACUGACAUGAUGUGUCAGAAUACCUUUAGUGGGAAAAUGAUAAUAUCCCUUGUUUGGACACUAAUAGUUUAUUUUAUUACUUGUUUUAAUUCAUUUCUUCUUAGCAUUAGUUUUUUUUAUUUCAAUUAUAAAUUAAUGUUAAAUUAUAGUUAAGACUGUCUUAAACUACUAUAAAUAAAUAGUUUUAAUUAUAUUUUUGAGGGAGUAAUAAUAUAAUUAAUUCUAUUUUAUGUUAAUUCUUCUCUCUUCCAUUUAAAUUCUUAAAUUCUUUAUUUAUUUCUCUCUUAAUUCUCUAAUCAAACCCUUAAAAUUCUACCAUCUGGUAUUAGAGCACAUCCUUCCUGCCACAAUUUUUAUUUUUCCAUUCACUUUUGCCAAUAUCUCUUGGCUUUCGACUGGAGAUUUAAACCGGACCCACCCUCUAAACUUUUUCCAACAUCUAAACUUUUUUAACCGAACCUGAAUUUUCUUGAGAGUUUUUUUGAGGCAUCAUGAUUUUUAAGGAGCUUGAAGGCAAAGUUCAACAGUUGUCUCAACAGUUUCAUGACAAAGUUACAACCAUCGAUGAAAAGGUUACGACCUUCGGCAAGCAAAAUAACGAUCUGCAGAAACUCAUGAAACAUCUUUCAGCAAUUGAGCCAGUUGCGAAAAGGAAAACAACCAACUACUGAUCAAAGACAAGUUGAUAUAUUUACUGGAGGGACCUUUGCUCCUCAAAUGGUAAUUGCUGCCCAACCACCUAUUGAACCUGGCGAACGCAUUGGAAGUACUCUCAUGCAAGCUUGUAACAUAUGACUUGACUUUCCUAUUUUUCAUGGUGACAAUCCAACGGGAUGGAUUUUUCGAUAUGAGCAAUGUCGUCGCCUUACUGGAUUAUCAGAUGUUGACUUAUUGUCCUUAGCUAUUGGCCAUCUUGAUGGUGAUACUGUACCUUGCAACUAGGGAUGGCAAAAUAACCCGGACCCGGACGAACCCGGAUAAUUCGGGCCGGGUUGAACCCGUAUCGGAGAGUAAAAAAAGCCGGAUCCGAAAUGGGUUUUAAUAACCCGGAUGAAUCCGGGUCCGGGUUUGGGGUAACCCGUGUAUCCGGAACUCGAACCCGGAUUCAUUUUUUAUAUUAUUUUUAAUUAUAUUUAUUAGUAAAUAUAAAUACAAAUAUUAAAAAAAAACCUAAUUCUAUUUCACAAGUCAAAGGCGUCAAACACACAAAUCGCGAUUUACACAAACAAGACAAACCCUAGCUGUGCCGCCGCUGCCGCCUUCCGCCUUCCGCUGUCCCGCAAGCAAGUCAAACAACUCUCGGCUAGGUUCGCCACCGUCGCAAGGUCGGUUCGCUGUCGUCGCAAGGUUGGGUUCGCGGUUCGUCGCAGCUUGUUUGGUUCACCAGAAUCACCACCGUCGCAUGCUUGCAGCAGUGCAGUUCCUCAAUUCGUUUGAUUCACCGGCGUGAGUAGCUGUUAUACUCUGUUUUAUGUGAUUUGUGCUAUGUGAUUUGUGAUAUUGAUUUGUGUUGUGUUAUACUGUUGUGAACACCACUGAUUUAUGUGAUUUGUGCUAUGUGAUUUGUGAUAUUGAUUUGUGUUGUGUUAUACACUUAUAUUGCCGUGAACACCACUAAUUUAUGCUUGAAAUGUUGUUGAUUGUUGGUGUUAAUAGAUUCGAAAUUGUAUAUUUCAAAUGUUAGAAAGCUGUUACAGUUAAAAAUAAAUUGUUGUUGUUAAUGGAUUUGUUGCUGUUAAUAGAUUCAAAAUUGUAUAAUUCAAAUGUUAGAAAGCUGUUACAGUUAAAAAUAAAUUGUUGUUGUUAAUGGAUUUGUUGCUGUUAAUAGAUUCGAAAAUGUAUUUUUGAAAUGUUAGAACUUAGAACAUUGUUACAGACUUACAGUAAAAAAAAUAAAUAUAAAAUGGAAGAAAUUGGAGGAAUGAUUGGUUAGUUUAAUUUGUUUUGACAUAAUUCUUGUAGGGUGUUAAAUUCAUAAUGGAAAAUGAACAAAGGUAUGGAAAAUUUAUUUAUUACAUAAAAUAAAUUAAUUUGUUAUAGUAUCAAUUUAUUACUAACUAACUGUUUUGUUCUUAUUUUUAUGAUUUAUUCAUGUUUUUUAGAUGGAAUUCCAGAGGAAGCAAUACUUUCUGCAGAACAGCUUAUUGAUGAAAGUUUGAUGAGUGAGUUGUGAACAACGAUGAGUCAAGUGAAGAAGAAUAGAAAAUGAUGGAGAAAAGUUUAAACUUUGGAUUUGUGGUUUUUAAUUUGAACUUUGAAUUGUAGACUUGUGUAAUUGUGUUAUGGAUUUAUAUUUGUGGCUGUUUUAUUACUUGAAACAGCCGUUUGAAUUGUAGAGUUUGCAAACUAGCUGUUUGAAUUGUAGAGUUUGCAGAGAGUUGAUUAAUUGUGAUUUGUGAGCACUGGACUAUUAUGCCAUAAUUGUGAUUUGUUGUUUAAGUCUUAAUUAUUAAGUGCUGGGAUGGCCUUUGAAACAUUG